UCUUGCCGUGGGGUUUUGGCGCCCCCAUACUCCGAUGCUUGCACCCAAAAAAUACUGGGACCUGUACGAGCGCGAAAAGCUUAAUCCGCCGUUCGAUCCGCGUCCCCCACGUGACGUGCCAGCUAUCGCACUCCACGACAAUCGUGAGAUUCGCGGGUACGAGGGUGUAGUGACCGAUGGCAAGAUAACUCAUGAGGCGACGAUGAAGAUUCGGCACGGUUAUCUAGCGAGUAUCACUUACCUUGACGCACAGAUCGGGCGAGUGCUGGACGAGUUGGAGCGGCUGAAACUGACCGAACGCACAAUCGUUGUCUUCUGGUCAGACCACGGGUUUCAUCUCGGGGAACACGGUCU
Molecule: ribosomal RNA, 354 nt
Filed under: uncultured eukaryote
Lineage: Eukaryota
Description: partial small subunit ribosomal RNA
Source: RNAcentral